Molecule: ribosomal RNA, 305 nt
Filed under: uncultured bacterium
Lineage: Bacteria
Description: bacterial SSU rRNA
Rfam family: Bacterial small subunit ribosomal RNA
Source: RNAcentral
UUGCCUACGGGGGGCAGCAGUGGGGAAUAUUGCACAAUGGGGGAAACCCUGAUGCAGCAACGCCGCGUGAGUGAAGAAGUAUUUCGGUAUGUAAAGCUCUAUCAGCAGGGAAGAAGAUGACGGUACCUGAGUAAGAAGCCCCGGCUAACUACGUGCCAGCAGCCGCGGUAAUACGUAGGGGGCAAGCGUUAUCCGGAAUUAUUGGGUGUAAAGGGUGCGUAGACGGGAAAACAAGUUAGUUGUGAAAUCCCUCGGCUUAACUGAGGAACUGCAACUAAAACUAUUUUUCUUGAGUGCAGGAGAGG